UGGGGAAUAUUGCACAAUGGGCGCAAGCCUGAUGCAGCCAUGCCGCGUGUGUGAAGAAGGCCUUCGGGUUGUAAAGCACUUUCAGCGGGGAGGAAGGCGUUAAGGUUAAUAACCUUGGCGAUUGACGUUACCCGCAGAAGAAGCACCGGCUAACUCCGUGCCAGCAGCCGCGGUAAUACGGAGGGUGCAAGCGUUAAUCGGAAUUACUGGGCGUAAAGCGCACGCAGGCGGUCUGUCAAGUCGGAUGUGAAAUCCCCGGGCUCAACCUGGGAACUGCAUUCGAAACUGGCGGGGUAGAGGAUUGUAGAGGGGGGUAGAAUUCCAGGUGUAGCGGUGAAAUGCGUAGAGAUCUGGAGGAAUACCGGUGGCGAAGGCGGCCCCCUGGACAAAGACUGACGCUCAGGUGCGAAAGCGUGGGGAGCAAACAGG
RNAcentral lists this ribosomal RNA (429 nucleotides) under Chloroflexota bacterium. Its description in RNAcentral is "Chloroflexi bacterium partial 16S ribosomal RNA". It matches the Rfam family "Bacterial small subunit ribosomal RNA", at positions 355 to 776 of the family's 1533-position model. The record is from RNAcentral. Lineage: Bacteria; Bacillati; Chloroflexota.